GAUAUAGUGUUCCCUGGUUUCGUAGAAAAUUUAUAACAUGAAGUAACGUUUAUUUAAGUUCUAUCAUUGACUCUUGUCUUUCCGUCAAGCGAUUACACGGGAAAAUAACCUCUCCGUAAACUACUGUUUCGUGUCCAAUCUGAAAUCAUAUCUCCCAAUUAUCUGGUACAUGUAAGAACGUAAAUGUUAUCCAGCUAAAGAUGUCUUGUGCGAAAUAAUUUUACUACAUAUUCCGGGCGAUUAGUUGAAGGUUUGAUGAUCAACGGUUUCAUUAUCUUUCAUAUUUCCAUCAAGAUCACAGUUGACAAGAUAAUUGUUCGCGAAUUUUGUGUGCACUCUCCCGUUAGAGAACCCAUAGCAAAUACCACAGUUCCAAUUGUUUGUCCGAGUAUCACUGAUCAAUUAGGGUCUCGGAAGAUACCAGUCAGAAAGGUUCCAAGUGUCAAUCAGAGAUCUGGACCCCUUUGGUAAAACAUUAAGUCUUUCGUUGUUUGAAUAUUUUUUCAUUUCAUUGAAUUAUUCAGUUCGAGGCUCAUGGCUUAAAUUUUGAUGGCGCAGAAUCGAUGAAAAUCAUUGCUAAUUUUAUUCGGUAUUAAUUCAUUUAAAGCCAGUUUCUAUUGCCUUGUGUAACACUGCAGGCAUUCUUCCGAACAUGAGCCUCUUUCACAAGUUAACAGAAAUGCUUGGCAUUUAUUGAAGAAAUUUUGCGCAGUAGUAUUGUCAGUAUUAUUGUUACUGUCUAGCUCUUUGAAACAAAUGUUCAUCAUAGGCACCAAUUUUUCAUUACAAGGAAUCCAUGGAUUAAAAGAAUUGAAUUUGAGAAAUAGAACAUUAAUUAUUUUAUUUACUGUUACCAUCGUGUUUCUCCCUUGUUUUGUUGAGCGUAUUUUGUUAGAGACUAUCUAGAGCACGACUGUCAGAGUGCUAUCCCACAAGAAGACACAGGAGUCAUUCUAUGGCAGGACUUACUCAGCCUGAAUUAGCUUAGCUCCAGAAUUAGUCACUGAAUUUAAUCCAUUUCCGGAGGUCCCAUUGAGGAGCAGUCGAUUUCCAGGAAUGCGUACUUAAAGCA
Molecule: long non-coding RNA, 1072 nt
Filed under: Bemisia tabaci
Lineage: Eukaryota; Metazoa; Arthropoda; Insecta; Hemiptera; Aleyrodidae
Description: lncRNA ENSSSA2NGG007854
Source: RNAcentral